Eutrema salsugineum is the source of this 109-nucleotide small nucleolar RNA. It matches the Rfam family "Plant small nucleolar RNA R71". From Rfam's summary of the family: R71 is a member of the C/D box family of snoRNAs containing the C (UGAUGA) and D (CUGA) box motifs. Multiple nearly identical copies of this snoRNA have been identified in Arabidopsis, and it is thought to function as a 2'-O-ribose methylation guide for 18S ribosomal RNA. The record is from Rfam. NCBI's taxonomy places the organism in Eukaryota, Viridiplantae, Streptophyta, Magnoliopsida, Brassicales, Brassicaceae.
AAUCCAUGAUAAAAACAUUGAUUAGUGUAGAUCCUGAAUCUCUCCCAACCCUCACCACAAGUUUCAUUGUGGUAUUGGGUAAAAAAGAUGAGAUCUGAUUCCUGAGCUU